GGCACUCGGUGCCAUACUCGGCUCGAGUGUACCACUCUGUAACUGUGAACUCUGGAGGGGUAACCCUCAACAUAGGCCAAUGAGGCAAUAUUUUGAAUCAUCUGAAAUAACGUCUACAACCAACAAUACCAAACUAAACAUCUACAUAGGACUGGUAAAACGACAAAACUGAUAUAAAAAUGUACAGGACUCGUCUACAAGCCUCUAGGGAUAACUGAAUUGUAUCAUGGUCGGAACAGGGCCCGACCUACCCAUCAAACCUGUAUAUAUAAAAUGGACUCCAAGGUAUAGACCUGGUAACUCCAUGAAAGUGGAGCUUACCAACCAAGCUGAUGUUUGACUUUGCCUACUGGGAAGGUCUAUCCAGCUAUCUAUCAGGACCUGCAGGCAUGAAAUGCAGCGUCCCCAACAAAAAGAAAAGUCAGUAAGAAAUAAUGUAUCGAGUAUGUAAGGCAACAGAAUAACUGAAAGCUGAAACUAAACUGAUAAUAUAAUAACUGAAAGCACCUGGGCAUCAAAUAUAAUUUGAAGAUAUGCUUACCUUGAUACUGACUCAUCUUUCUUAAUAAAGUAAGUAAAAUAGCUGUCCGGCCCUAUAAGGCUCGGUAUUUGUAACUGCUCUGCCAUAGUAGGCUCACUCGUAGGUGCUCGGCCAUACUAGGCUCUGUAUCUCGGCUAACUGGGCUCGCUCAUAGGUGCUCGACCACAAUAGGCUCGGUAUAUAACUUACCAUUUGAUCGGAGGUUUUCCAAUAGGGGUCUGCCCAUCGAUUAUAGCUCGAUGGUGGUGAAAAUACUAUAAUACUGUAUAUAUAUAAACUCUCUGCUCUCUUGGCUGAAAAAAGACAAAACUAAACUGAAUAUGAAGUCCCGAUAAGGGAGAUUACUGUAGCAUAUGAGACUAGGAUAAUGUACAUAAAUUUAGGAAUAAGAACUCUCUUUAUGCCUCGUUAUCAAAUGCAUAUAGUUAGGAGAUCAUGCCAAAAUGAAGGAAAGGUUUAGACUUAACAUACCUUACAACAAUAUUUCCAAUAACCAAGUUUAACUCGCCUAUUCGCACCUUAAUCUACAAUAACAAUAAUAAUACUAUCAUUAAGUUAUGAAAGGUAGAACUAUCGCACAACGAACGACAAGCUUAUUUUGUAUAAAAAUGGACAGCAUCUCCCUUAUAAUCCUUACUUCCUCCAAAUUCAAGAUAAUACCAAUAACUCAAGAACAAAACAAUAUCAACAUAUAUACAUUAUUUUCCAAUCUUAUAUACACCACAAAAUACUAUAAAAUAGACCAACAGACACCGGUCUCUUCAUACACAAAACGACCAUCGUAGUAGUGUUAAAUAGUCCGAAAAUAUUACGACGAACAACCAGCCCUCCAUCCUGCAUUUAUGUGGUGUUUAUCCACACCCUUCCUCCUCCAAAACUCCAGAAUACAGUAGUAAAACACACAAUCCAACAACAACACAAAACAGUCCACAAAAUAGUCCGCUACAAGUGAAUAACUCGAACUCACGGCUUCCGAUCACCGCCCUGUGAGUUCUUACAAUUAUAUAACGACUUUCCAUACAUCUCCAGCGGAAAAAUUGGAUGAAAUAUAGCAGUAAAAUCACCUUAUUUGUUGAAUAACUCAGAUCCUAUCUUGGUUCUUCAAACUCUAAGUUUUACCUCCAACUAGAACUUGAAAACGAGAGAAAAUCAAUUAGGGUUUGUGGACAAUUUUUGGGAGGAUGUUUGCUGGGGUUUAGGCCUGGUUAUUGUGUUAUGUAAUUGAGUGUUAUAUUGCAGGAGAUAAGCCCUUAAAUGUACUUUUUGUCCGACCCGAAAUAGCCCCUUUUUGGACUCUCAUUUAAGCAAGUAGGUGACACACCUACUUGUCACCUAGCAGUCUGCGCAGUCUCGCAAAAAUGCAUAUAUCUCUCUACUCCGAUGUCGUAUUGACAAACGAUUUAAUGAGUUAGAAAAUAGACUUAUAGAUCUUCAAUUUGGUAGAUACAUAAUCCCUAAUUCCAAGUAUAUUGGAAGAAAAGCUCCGCUAUAUCUGACCUAAGUUUCAACAUAUUUAUGAAUGGAACUUGUGAUGACCUUUUCCAACUUGUGACGACAACUAUUAUACGUCUAAAAUAACUCNNNNNNNNNNNNNNNNNNNNNNNNNUUUAGUAACCUCCACGUUAACAUGAUUAACUAACUUCCUAAACUUUUCAAAGAUAAUUUUAUUUAUGAGCUUACAUCAAUUGACUUACGACGUACUCUUACAUACGAAAACAUGAGGUGAAAUACUGACAAAAAAUAAUAUUUUUUAACAUAAACUGAACCCCAUUAAUGAGCCAAUUUUACCAAAUGGUCAAUUACUUACAUGUAAUAAAAACAUGCAUAUAUUACGACUUCAUAUUAUAUACACCCUAUGUUAACAUGGUAUAUACGAACAUAGCAGGAUACAGCACAUCAUAAAGACCUCCAAGAAACUAGAUAAAGGUGACACGAAAAUCUGAAAUACCACACGAAGUUGGAUCAAUCACAUAGUAGCAUUCAGAGCAAAAACAGUGAAGUAGCAGGUGCAAGCCUCUACCAGCAAUUAUCUUAAUGCAGAUGCAAACUACUACAAAUGUUCUUCGUAUAUAUAGUAAUACCUGAAUUCAAAAACUACCUAAAUCUAAUAUUUUAUUGAAUAGACCUAUCAAAAUCAUAAUUAGAGGACUAUAGUAAGAUACAUGCAGAUCCAUGGAAUCAACAAUAAUAACUAACGUACUGAUUUAAAUGCCUACCUAUUUAGCCAAGGCAAAUAACUGGGUGAGAUGGAUAACAUACUUCAUCAUGCGUUAACUGAUCAAACAAUUGACGCAGUCGAGACACAGACAGCCUGGAGGAGUCAUUCUCGUUCAGUUUUCUCAGUUGAUCUAACCAUCUUAGCACCAAGGGAAACGUUGCAGAUGGCAUCCCAUUAGUGUCUAUAUUGAGAUUUCUAACAACCUUUGGAAUGUGCUCCAAUAUAAAUAUCUAGGAGAAUACAUAAAAGAAAAGAUUUAAUUCAAUAUCAUAUAAGAAGAGAACAAGACUAGUUAAUUGUAUUGUCAUUACCAUAAAAAAAAAAAAAAGGCUGCGUCCAGAAAGAGUUAUUCUUCUGUCAUUUUUUGGCACUUUCUAGACCCUUGUGGAGGUACGCUAACAUGGCUGCUCCCCAUGCAUAGUCUUCAAUUUUAUCAACAUCAUCCAAGAGAGCCAGAAAAUAUCCAGGAACGGCAAAUUUGGUUCUAGGAGCUAUUACAGACACUAUUAUGUACAGUACAUACACUCUGAUAUAUUGACUAUUUAGACAAUCAGAGUUCCCAUAUUUUCUCCCAAGGGACCUAAGACAAAUCCCUCCAGUUUUUAAGUCUAUACCUUUUCCGUUUGUUACUCCUAAAUAUUCUUUUGUCACUCCUAAAUAUUUUUCAUCAAACUUUUCAUCUUUUCCAUCUUGUCCAAUAACCGAUUUACCAUCUAUAGGCAACCCAGAUAUCUUCAGUAUAUCUUCUAAGCCGAAAAAGAAGUCCAAACCAUUAAACAGAAAACAUCUUUUAUCAGCGUCAUAGAAAUGAACCAACGCACUUAUCAGUUUGGUUAGAUGCUCAUGUCGCGAAGGUCUUAAAUUAAAAAUCUUAGCUAAAUUUUCAAAACCGAUUCCUUGUAACCGGUCGACAAGGACAACAUUAGACACUUCCCACAAGGAUAAAUUCUCUACAUGAUCUACAAUCUUGAGGACAUUCCAGCUGCAUGCAUGAAAAGUCAUAAUGAAACAUCAAUUCAAAAUCAUAAAAUUACAGGUGUAUUUGGUAUGAUGCAAGACAUUUUCCAUUGAAAAUGCUUUCCUGAAAAAUGUUUUCCAUGGAAUUUAGGGUGUUUAGUUAAUGAGUAGAAAAUAUUUUCAAUAACAAUAUAUAUACUCCCUCCAUUCCAAUUUAUUAGACACCCUUUCCUUAUUAGUCUAUUUAAAAGAAUGACACAUUUCUAUAUUUUGAAAACACUUUAAAUUUAAAUUUUUUAUUUUACUCAUUUUUCCCUUAAUGAGAAGCUUUUAUAGCCACACAAAUGUUUUCGCGUGGGCCCGAAACCCCGUAUUCGGAUUGCCUAAAAUUUAUCCAAACCAUCAAAAAUGACCUAAGGAACAUUGGUUAUAGCCCCGCCAUGACCGUUCCUCGUUUUUGGCGUUUUAGAGCCAUUAAACGAGAAUUCAGCCCGACUCCCACAUUUUCGUGUGCUAUAGCACACGCCUUCCGCGUGGGCCAGGACUCCCGGACCCCGACUUCCUAAAAUUUAUUAAGAACAUCGAAAACGAUCUAAGGAUUAGUGGUCAUCGCCUCGCCAUGAAUGUUCCUCAUUUUUGGCAUUUUAUGGUCAUAAAAGGAGAAUUCGGCCCGAUUCACAUAUUUUCGUAUUAUAACCCAUGCCUUCCGCUUGUGACUGGGCCCCCGGACCCAGAUCACCUAAUAUUUUUCUGGACCAUCCAAAAUGACCUAAGGAACACACCGCCCCCGCCAUGACCAUUCUUCAUUUAUUGGCGUUUUAGGGCUAUUCCCAUAUUUUCCUGUGUUAUACCUCAUGCCUUCCGCAUGGGCCCAUAUCACCGGACCUGGACCACCUAAAAAUUUCUGGACCAUAAAAAAUGACUUAAGAAACAUUAGUCACUGAUCCGCUAUGGCCGUUCUUCAUUUUUUAGCAUCGUCUAGGCGCCUCAGGGAAAUGUAUAGUCCUGCGGGAGUCCGUUCACCUUGAAGUGGAACUUUUAGGGCCAUGAAAUAAGAAUUGGAUCCGAUUCCCAUAUUUCUAUGUGGUAUAGCCCACGCCUUCCAUGUGGGCCUGGGACCCAGACCUGGACCGCAUAAAAUUUUUCUGGACCAAACAAAAAAUGACCUAAGGAACAUUAGUCAACGCCCCUCCAUGGUCGUUCCUCUUUUUUUGGCAAUUUAGGGCCAUAAAAUGAGAUUCGAUCCAAUUCCCAUAUUUUUAUGUGGUAUAGCCCACGACUUUCGCGUGGGCCCGAACCCCUGGACCCGGACCACAUAAAAUCUAUCCGGACUAUCAAAAAUGACCUAAGAAAUAUCGGUCACAUCUCCGCCAUGACCGUUCCACAUUUGUUUUGCGUUAUAAGGCUGUAAUACGAGAAUUCGGCCCGAUUCUCAUAUUUUUCGUGUGCUAUAUCCCACGUCUUCCGCGUGGCCACGGGCCACAGACUCGGACCGCUUAAAAUUUGUCCAUACUAUUGAAAAUGACCUAAGGAACAUUGGUUACCACCCCGCCAUGAUCUUUCCUCAUUUUUUGGCGUUUUAGAGCCAUAAAACGAGAAUUCGGCCUGAUUCUCAUAUUUUCGUAUGUUAUAGCACACGCCUUCUGCGUGGGCUCGGGUCCUCUGAUCCAGACAACCUAAAAUUUAUCCAAACCAUCGAAAAUGACAUAAGGAAUAUUGGUCACUGCCCCGCUAUGACCGUUCCUCAUUUUUGGCUCAUUUUUGGCGUUUUAGGGCCAUAAAAUGACAAUUCGGCCCGAUUCCCAUAUUUUCUCAUGGCCCACGCCUUUCGGCAUAUGCCCGAGCCCUCGCUACCCGGACUGCCUAAAAAUUUUUCGUAUCAUCAAAAACAACCUUAGGAACAUCGGUCACUACCUUGCCAUGGUCGUUCCUUGAUUUUUGGCAUUUUAGAGCCAUAAAAUGAGAAUUUGGCUUGAUUCUCAUAUUUUCGUGUGCUAUAGCCCACGCCUUCCAUGUGGGCCAAAGCACCGGAUCCGGACCGCAUAAAAUAUCUUCGAACAAUCAAAAAUGACCUAAGGAACAUUGAUCACUACCCCUCCAUGACCGUUCCUCAUUUCUUUGGUAUUUUAGGGCCAAAAAACAAGAAUUCGGCCUCGUUCCUAUAAUUUUGGGUGCUAUAGUCCACACUUUCCGCGUGGGCCCCACCUUCGGAUACGAACAACCUAAAAUUUAUUCGGACCAUAAAAAAUGACCUAAGAAAAAUUGGUCCCCAUCCCUCCAUGACUGUUCCGCAUUAUUUGGUGUUAUAGGGCCGUAAAACGAGAAUUCGGCCCGAUUCCCAUAUUUUUGAAUGCUAUACCCCAUGCUUUCCGCGUGGGCCGGGGCCCUCAAACCACCUAAAAUUUAUCCUGACCAUUAGAAAUGACCUAAGGAACAUUGGUCACCACCCCUCCAUGAUCGUUCCUCAUGUGUUGGUGUUUUAGGGCCAUAAAAUGAGAAUUCGGACAAAUUCCCAUAUUUACGUGUGCUAUAGCCCAUGCCUUCCGCGUGGGCCCUGGCCUUGGGCCCAGACAACCUAAGAUUUAUCUAAAUCAUUGAAAAUGACCUGAGGAAUAUUGGUCACCGCCCCACCAUAAUCGUUCCUCGUUUUUGGCGUUUUAGGGCCAUAAAAUGAGGAUUUGGCCCGAUUCCUAUAUUUUCGUAUGCUAUACCCACACCUUCCAUGUGGGCCUGGGCCCCCGGACCCAGACCCUCUAAAAUUUAUCAGGACCAUUAAAAAUAACCUAAGGAAUAUCGAUCAUUGCCCCUCCAUGAUCAUUCCUCAUUUUUUGGCAUUUUAGGACCAUAAAAUAAUAAUUCGGCCCAAUUCCUAUAUUUUUGUGUGCUAUAGCCCACACCUUCUGCGUGGACCCCACCUUCAGACCCGGACAACCUAAAAUUUAUCCAAACCAUAAACAAUGACCUAAGGAAUAUUGGUCCCCAUCCCUCCAUAACUGUUCCUCAUUUUUUGGAUUUUUAGGCCAUAAAACGAAAAUUCCAAUAUUUCUAUGUGCUAUGGCCCACGCCUUCUGUGUGGGCCCGUGCCCCUAACUUGAACUGCCUAAAAUUUAUUUACAUCAUCUAAAAUGACAUAAGGAACAUUGGUCACCGCCCCACCAUAAUCGUUCCUCGUUUUUGGCGUUUUAGGGCCAUAAAACGAGGAUUUGGCCCGAUUCCUAUAUUUUCGUAUGUUAUACCCACACCUUCCAUGUGGGCCUGGGCCCCCGGACCUAGACCCUCUAAAAUUUAUCAGGACCAUUAAAAAUGACCUAAGGAAUAUCGAUCAUUGCCCCUCCAUGAUCGUUCCUCAUUUUUUGGCAUUUUAGGAUCAUAAAAUAAUAAUUCGGCCCAAUUCCUAUAUUUUUGCGUGCUAUAGCCCACACCUUCCACGUGGACCCCACCUUCAGACCCGGACAACCUAAAAUUUAUCCAAACCAUAAACAAUGACCUAAGGAAUAUUGGUCCCCAUCCCUCUAUAACUGUUCCUCAUUUUUUGGAUUUUUAGACCAUAAAACGAGAAUUCCAAUAUUUCUAUGUGAUAUGGCCUACGCCUUCUGUGUGGGCCCGUGCCCCUGACUUGAACUGCCUAAAAUUUAUUUACAUCAUCUAAAAUGACAUAAGGAACAUUGGUCACCGCCCAUCCCUGACAGUUCCUUAUGUUUCAGCGUUUUAGGGCCAUAAAACGAGAAUUCUCCCCGAUUCUCAUAAUUUCGUGUGUUAUAGCCCACACCUUCCGUGUGGGCCCGGUCCCCCACAUCCGAACCGCCUAAAAUUUAUCCAGAGCAUUGAAAAUAAAUAUGGAACAUUGGUCACAGCCCCGCCAUGGACGUUCCUCAUUUUUGGCGUUUUAGAGCCAUAAAAUAUGAAUCCGGCCCGAUUCUCACAUUUUCGUGUACUAUAGCCCACGCCUUCUACGUGGGCUCAGACCCCUGGACCCGAACUUCCUAAAAUUUAUUCAGACCAAGGCUCAGCUCUUAAAACUGAGUGACGAGAAUCUAUCUUCAGAAACCUGCAAAUUUUCCCUUUAAAUCAAAAACAAACUAAGGAUCAUUGGUCACCGCCUCGCCAUGAUUGUUCCUCAUUUUUUGGAAUUUUAGGGCCAUAAAAGGAGAAUUUGACCCGAUUCGCACAUUUUCGUGCUAUAGCCCACACCUUCCUCUUGUGGUCGGCUCCAGGACCCAGACCACCAAAUAUUUUUUUGGACCAUCCAUAAUGACCUAAGGAACACACCGCCCUGCCAUGACCAUUCCUCACUUUUUUGGUAUUUUAGGGAUAUUAGCAUAUUUUUGUGUGUUAUAGAUCAUGCCAACUGCGUGGGCCGAAGCAUCGGACCUGGACCACCUAAAAAAUUUUUGGACAAUAAAAAAUAACCUAAGGAACAUUAGUCACCGCCCUGCCAUGGCCUCUCCUUGUUUUUUUGUAUUUUAAAGCCAUAAAACAAGAAUUCGGUCAGAUUCCCAUAUUUUCGUAUGGUAUAGCCCACGCCUUCCGCGUGGGACUGGGCCCCGGACCUGGACCGCAUAAAAUUUUUCUGGACCAUCAAAAAUGACCUAAGAAACAUUAGUCACCGUCCCACCAUGGCCGUUCCUCUUUUUUGGCAUUUUAGGAUCAUAAAAUGAGAAUUCGUUCUGAUACUCAUAUUUUUACGUGGUAUAGCCCAUGCCUUCUGCGUGGGCCCGAGUCCCUAGACUUGGACAACAUAAAAUCUAUCCGGACCAUCGAAAAUGACCCAAGGACCUCUGGUCACUGCCCUGCCAAGAAUGUUCUGCAUUGUUUGGCGUUAUAGGGCUAUAAAAUGAGAAUUCGACCUGAUUCUUAUAUUUUCGUGUGCUAUAGCCCAUGCCUUCCAUGUGGGCACGGGCCCCCGGACUCAGACCGCCUAAAUUUAUGCUGAUCGUCGAAAAUGACCUAAGAAACAUUGGUCACCGCCCCGCCAUAAAACGAGGAUUCAGCCCGAUUCCUAUAUUUUCGUGUGCUAUACCCAUACCUUCCACGUGGGCGAGGGCCCCCGAACACAAACAUCCUAAAAAUUUUCCGGACCAUUGAAAAUGGCCUAAGGAACAUUGGUCACCCCCCCCCCCCCCCCCGUCAUGAGCGUUCCUCAUUUUUUGGCAUUUUAGGGCCAUAAAAUGACAAUUCGGUAUGAUUCCCAUAUUUUCGUAUGCUAUAGCCCACGCCUUUCGCUGUGUGCCGGGGCCCCCAGACUCGGACUGCCUAAAAAUUUUUUGUACAAUUGAAAAUGACCAUAAGAACAUUGUUCACUGCCCUGCCAUGACCGUUCCUCGUUUUUUUGGCAUUUUAGGGCCUGAAAAUGAGAAUUCGGCCUGAUUCCCAUAUUUUCAUGUGCUCUAUCCCACGCCUUCUGCGUGGGCCCAAGCCCUGGAUCUGGAUCACAUUAAAUAUCUUCAAACCAUCUAAAACGACCUAAGGAACUUUGGUCACUGCCCCUCCAUGAUCGUUCCUCGUUUAUUGUAUUUUAGGGCUACAAAAUAAGAAUUCGAACAGCCUAAAGUUUAUCCGAACCAUAGAAAAUGACCUAAGGAAUAUUGGUCCCCGCCCUGCCAUGAUUGUUCACAUUUUUUGGCGUUAUAGGGUCAUAAAAUGAGAAUUCGUCUCGAUUCUCAUAUUUUCGUGUACUAUAGCCCAUGCCUUCCAUGUGAGCCCCGGCCCCCGACCUAAACCGCAUAAAAUUUAUCCGAGCCAUUGAAAAUGACCUAUGGAACAUUGGACAUCUCCCCGCUUUGACCAUUACUCAUUUUUGGCAUUUAAGGGCCAGAAAUCGAGAAUUUGGCCCGAUAUUCAUAUUUUCGUGUGUUAUAGCCCAUGCCUUUUUCGUGGGCCCGGGCCCCCGGAUCCGGACCAACGAGAAAGAAUUAAGGAAGAUUGUUUCCUGCCUCUCCAUGACCAUUCCUCGCUUUUUGGCGUUUUAGACCAUAAAACAAUAAUUCUGCCCGAUUCCCAUAUUUUCGUGUGUUAUGGUCCACGCCUUUCAUGCGGGCCCGGUCCCCCGGACAUAGACCGCUUAAAAUUUAUUCGGACUAUCGAAAAUGACCUAAGGAAUAUUGGUGACCGCCUCGCCAAGACCGUUCCUCGUUUGUCGACAUUUUAGGGUCAUAACAUGAGAAUUCGGCCUGAUUCCUAUAUUUUCGGGUGGUAUAGCCCAUGACUUAUACGUGGGCCCGACCUCCAAACCCGGACCGCCUAAAUUUUUUCCAUGCCACAAAAAUGACCUUAGGAAGAUUGGUCACCGCCUCGGGAUGGCCAUUCCUCAUUUUGGCAUUUUAGGGACAUAAAACGAGAAUUUACCCGAGUCCCGUAUUUUUGUGUGCUAUAGCCCAUGCCUUCUGCGUGGGCCCAGGACCCCGAAUCUGGACUGCCUAAAAUUUAUCCAGACCAUCGAAAAUGACUGAAGGAACAUUGGUCAAACCCCCCCCCCCCCCCAUGAUCGUUUCUGGUUUUUGGCGCUUUAGAGCCAUAAAACGAGAAUUCGGACCGAAUUCCCAUAUUUUCGUGUACUAUAGCCUACGUCUUCUGCAUGGGCCCGGAUCCCCGGAAAUGGUCUUCCUUAAAUUUAUUCGGACCAUCAAAAACAACCUAAGGAUCAUUGGUCACCUUCUCUCCAUGAAGGUUCCUCAUUUUUUAGCAUUUUAGGGUCGUAAAAGAAAAAAUUAUCCCGAUUCGCAUAUUUUUGUGUCCCACGCCUUCCGCAUUUACCCGGGCCCCCGGACUUGGACCACCAAAUAAUUUUCCAGACCAUCCAAAAUGGCAUAAGAAACACACCGCUCCGCCAUGACCAUUCCUCAAUUUUUGGCGUUUAGGGCUAUUUCUAUAUUUUUGUGUACUAUAGCUCACGCCUUUUGCGUGGGCCGGGACCACCGGAGCUGGACCAUCUAAAAAUUUUCUGGAUCAUCAAAAAUAACUAAUAAACAUUAGUCACCACCCCACCAUGACCAUUCCUCUAGCGUCUUAGACCCAUAGAACAAGAAUUCAGUUCGAUUCUCUUAUUAUCGUAUGCUAUAGCCUACGCCUUACGCGUGGGCCCGAGCCCCCGAAGCCAGACCGCCUAAAAUUUUGUGCGACCAUCAAAAAUGACCUAAGAAACAUUGGUCACUGCUUCGCCAGGACCGUUCCAUGUUUUUUGACGUUUUAAGGGCAUAAAACGAGAAACCGAUCUGAUUUCCAUAUUUUCGUGUGCUACAGCCCACGCCUUACUACACAAAAUUUAUUCGAUCAAUGAAAAAUGACUUAUGGAAUAUUGGUCACUACCUCGCCAUGACUAUUUCUCAUUUUUUGGUAUAUUAGGGCUAUAAAACGAGAAUUCGACCCGAUUCCCAUAUCUCACUGUGCUAUAGCCCUUGCUUUCCGCCUGGUCCCUGUCCCUUGGAUCCGGACCACCUAAAAUGUUUUUGGACCAUCAAAAAUUCCUACGUAACAUAGCCCAUUCAUGAUCGUUCCUCUUUUUUUGGUGUUUUAGGGUCAUAAACUGUGAAUUCGACCUGAUUCUCAUAUUUUCAUGUGCUAUAGCCCACUCCUUCCGCGUUGGUCCGAGCCCCCAGACACGGACCGCCUAAAUUUUUCAUGACAAUCUAAUACUACCUUAGGGACAUUUCUCACCGCCCUGCCAUAAUCAUUCCUCAUUUUAUGACAUUUUAGGACCAUAAAAGUAGAAUUCGGUCUGAUUCUCGUAUAUUUGUGUGCUAUAUCUCACACCAUCUGUGUGGGCCCGGGCCACGGGACACGUACCACCUAAAAAAAUUUCUAACCAUCAAAAAUGACCUAAAAACAUUGGUCUCCGCCCUGUCAUGAUGUGUUUACCGCGAAAAUGGUACUAACAAUUAAAUUUAAUUUUGUGGUUCUAAAAAUAUGUGAUCUAUUUUUAUGCUAGUUGUUAGGUAGUUGAUGCUAUCUUAAAGACUUAGAAAGGAUAUAAGAGCUGAAAAACAAGAUGUUAACCAAACCGAGUGUCUGUGGAUGGGGCCUCGAGUUUGCUUAUUCGGGGCCUCGGGGUCGAGUCUAAUGCCCCGCCAAGGGUAGUCGAUGGAGACUAACAAUUAUAAAUAAAUCAAUGACAACUCUUUAUGGCCAGUAAUAAGUAAUAAAUGAAGAAUAAUAAAUAGCACACAAUGAAUAUAAGUAAUAAAUGAAGCAAUGAGAUCAAGAGAAUAUGUUAGAGAACAGAGAGAAUGUUCUUGAGUUUUCAGUAUUGAGCAUCAUGUUACUACAAAAUAACAAGGAUCCACUUUAUAUAUGAGGGAAAAUCCCAACAUAGUACAAAUACAUUUAUUACAAAGAUAUAGAGAUGAGACAACUAGUUGAUAUCUUGAUUCGGGUCUGAAUUUAGCUCACUAGACUGUAUCAGCUCUAGUUAUGCGCCUUGUGAACUCCCCACUUUUCCUUUAUAGCCAUUGGUCUGCAUCGUCUUGAGGUCGAGCGUCGAUAUCCCUCGAGGGUGAACCUCGACCCUAGUCUCAAACCUACGAAAUAUGCUUACGAGGCACCGCAACAACGGAAAAUUGGACCCUCUGAUUUUAUCGUAUACAGAUAGUCCCCGUGUUUCUUAGAGUGAAAGUGAUAAGAAACGACCUUGAAUUCCUGCCCCUCUGGUACUUCCGUAACGACGACAGUCAUAAGGUGCCAAAAGACGGCGUACAUACACCCCUUAAAAGCCUUCGCGUUGAUUAUGGCGGUUGGUUGUCCUUUGGCCUCCUUCAAUAUGUGUGUGGGGCCUCUAUAAAUACUUCUCUUCUCGUUCUUUACAACUCACUGCACCACCAAGCCCCAAAAAAGGUUCCUACUACCUUUACUUUUGUUAUUUCUUCGAAGCGCAACUUCUCUGUCUCUUCUGAAAUCUUUUAGGAAAGGGGACAACUUCCACUUCGCUUAGGAGAACAUGACCUCUUCCUCUUUGCUUCCAUAUUAAGGCAAAGCGGCAAUGCCUCCUCGUGCUGAGGAAUGCGUUCUAGGAUUUUUUGCAACAGCUUCCGAUUUCAAGGUCGAGAGACCUUCUUCGAUGCUGGGGCGUCGUGAGCCUGUGUCUCAGUAUAUUAGCUCAAUAACAGAAGUCGAAAGGAUGAGGACUAAUUACCACUGGGAGGACGCGGUUCUUGUGGAGAUCCCUACUCGGGAGGAGGAUAUAACAACAUACAAAGUCGAUUUUCUCAGUGUUUAUACUUACCCAUUUACCCUUGGGCCGGUGGGUCCUUCCUUGCCUCCAAUUGAUCUUGUGAUUCUUGACUUCUGCCAAUAGUAUCAAGUGACCCUUGGCCAAAUUCACCCUUCGUUCUAGCGCAUUAUCUGCGUGAUCCAGUACUAUGUGAAUAUGACUGAAGGGAUGCCCUUCACCCUCGAUCACCUGAUCAGGAUGUAUAACCCCCAUCUCUUCCAUGGGGGUCUGAUUAAGCUCCACUGCCGAAAUUCGAGGGCCUUUUUUGCUUGCAUCAAAGAAGUGGGGAACGGAGGGUGGAUGAGUCGCUUUGUCCGAGUUAGGACUUCAGACUUAUUUCGGUGGAAAGGAUGCCAUUCCUUGAGAGGUGGAACAUGGAAUGUAAUUAGAUACAUUAUAUAUCAUUUCCUUGCUUCUUUUUAGGUACAUUUUUCCACGCACUUAAUUUCUUCUGCUAAUGCAGUCGUAGCAAUUUAACCUGACACGGUCACGGACCUCUCAGGCUAGGUCAGCCAGCUGGACUCGAUUUGCCCAUAUGCUGAGCGAGUGUGGCGUGAUCUGUCCCAAUCUUGAUGGGAAGCUAAAGACCAUGGUGAGCCUUCACCCUUGUUGCAGUCGUACAUUCUAAUAUGAAUCGCUACUAAUAGCUCUCUCACUUCCUAUGCUUACCUCUUGCCUUUGUAUAGGUCUGGGGGAGGUCCCCCUGAUAAAGGGAACGUCUCUUGGUGAAGAGGGUACUUUGGGACCUGACGAAGGGAAGAAAAGACAAAGGGAACCGUCGAAUGAACUUUUAGAAUCCAAGAAGAUCAAGGUGGAAGAAACUAAAGACAACCCAACAGCCCUAACUCCGGAAGCAGCGGGAAGUCCCCGAGUUGAAGGCGAGGGGGAAAAUAAUUUUUUGAUAGCGUCCGAGGGAGGGAAAAACCUGAUCGACCCUCAGGACGUAGAGAUGGUGGCUCCCGAGCUGGAGCUUGAUGUCGUCGUGGUCCAGCUUCGAAAUGUAGAGACCACUGAGAGAGUAUCGAGUGAGGUACCCGAGCCGACCAAUAGCCAAAAUACUCCUCGAGCUGGGACACAUUCGUAGGUGGUUCGGAGGAGCCCAGUUUUGGAGCCCUGCAUGGACAAGAGAUGGCCCUGAUCGACCCUGUUGGUGCCGUUGUCGUGAGUGAUUCCCCUCAAGGAAUGACCUUACCUCCUAAAGGAAUGCAAGAUGCCCCAAAUGAAGAACCUUCCGAUGUGGGGGUGCCUAUCAGAGACAUAGAUGCGCUUAAAAGGCCUUCAGCCUCCGGAGGGGAUUCCCGAGCUCGAUGCUUCACUCGUCUUCGGCGAGAUGAGCAGGCUUUGUGAGCAGGUAGUUUUUGUAAAUCCUGCCUGUCGUUCUGAUCUUUGUCUUUAUAACUUGUCUUUUUUUAUGGCUUCAGGCCAGGGCGCUUUAUAAUCAAACUUUCGCCCAGUUUUAGGUUGAGGUGACCCGUCAUGAGCAUGAGAAGGCUCAUCUUGUUGAACAGGUUACCUAGUUUCCGUUUGUUAUUGUCUGAAUGAUUGCCAGAUCUCAGUGUUUUAACAUCUUGGAUCUGAUUCGUGCAAUUUGAGAAGGAAGGUUCCUUUCUGAGAGAGGAGCUCCGAGCCAGAGAAUCCGAAAUCCUCGAACUCAAACGGUGCAUGAGAGAGAUAACCUCUGAGAGGGAUACUGUAGAUAUGUGAUUUUUGACCCUCCCCAAGAUUUUACUUAUUUUAGCAUUUAAAUACUUAGUUUAGGCCUAAUAUCUUUAUUUCAACUAAUUUUGGCUCUUUUACUUUAUUUCGUCACAAAAAAUAAAAAUUACAAAAAUAUUUUAGUUUACGUAUCUUUCAUAAAUUUAAAUAAAAAAUAUAUAAAAAAUAGUGCCUUAUUUUUAUUUUUAUAUAAUCUUGAAAACACAAAAAUAGUUUCAUAUUUUAAUAUAGUUUAGUUCAAUUAAUUAAGAUUAAUUUUAUAUUUUUAUAUUAUAAAUUAUAUAUUUAGAAGGAAGAGUUAGUUUUGGGUUAGUUUAUCCUAUUUUAAUCUUGUAGUCCAUUUUUUUAGUCUUUGGCCCAAUUUUAAGGCCCAAUAAUACCAAACCCAUACCCUUUAAACUAAAAACCCUUUCUAUAUAAUAAAAAAUUAGCCUAAAAAUACCUAAUCCCUAGACCCCUAAGGAUCAUCAACCGUUUCUAUCACAAGACACCCCCCUCCACAACCAAACUUCAUCUUCUUCUUCAUGAAAAAAACCAAAGAAAAAACCCUAGACUCCAUUGAAGCUCCCAGCCGCACCGCUCCAAAACGACCCCUCAUCUUAUCUUCUUCACAACCAGACUUAACCCUAGAGACCAAACCCCUAUUGCCAUCUCCACUCAACACAUAACACCAGCAAGCCCCUUCAACAGCCUUCACGCCAAGAACUCGACACAGCCACACACACACAGAAAUGCAAAGACAUAUGUCACACCUCUUUUUUACCACCCCGCUAAGGGGUAUAAAGGAGUUUUUUCCAACUUAAAGUGACAAUUGAAAUAGGAUUAUUUAUUUUAAAUUCAGAGUCGCCACUUGGGAUAGUUUAUGAUGUCCAAAGUCACCGGUUCGAAUCCCAAAUGGAGGAAAGAUUGACUCUGUUCUAUUGUCCGCGAACACAGAAAUUCGGGUAAGAAAUUCUAUUAACCCGGGAGAAGGUGUUAGGCAUUCCCGGGUUCCGUGGUUCUAGUACGGUCGCUCAAACUAUUAUAAUUGGCCUAUUAUCUGAUUUUAAUACAUGUUUAGACCUAUGUGCAUUUACACUUUUUAGCCGCCUUUAAUAUUUCGGGAAAAUUUAAGGUUAUUUAAAACACAUCGUAAGUCACGCUACAUGAAAUGUACCCGUGGUUCACGACACGUUCUAUUUAAACUUGUUGAAAAUUAGAACUUGGUCACAUGAAAUGCACCCCCGGAUUUCAAUAGCCAUGAGAAUUAUAUAUUCAACGCGCCUAAAGCAAAUUGCGAGGUUCAUAUGUUUCACACACAGCUCAGUCUCAAAUGUGGUAAAUAAGAAUCAAUGGCUUCAUUUCUCAAUCACGGUAAGGUAAAUCACAAUAAACAAAAAAGUACUAGUAAACAUGAUUCAUCCAUUGAAAUUAUCACGGGUCAACAAAGAAACAAUAGUAAUGCAGCAAUAAGUUUAUACAUUCUUAAAGCUUUGUGUAACUAUAGCUGCAUAACUUUUUUAUCUCUAUCAUUUGUUUAAAAUCACAUAUAAGCCAAAAAGAUUUUACUCAUCACAUUCGCUCACUGUAGUAUAAGAAUCUAAGUUGUGACAAACAAAAAGGAACACACAUCUUUUACGGCCAAUUCACCAAGCAUAAAAACUAAUAUGUAAUAUGAUAUUUUUUAAAGAUAAAACCGUGCAAUCACAUGAGUAGACAAUUUAUUAGCUAAACCAAUAAUGAAGCUCGAUAACUAAAUGAAAGCAAAACAAGCAGUAAGAGAAUGUACUUCAUUUUUAUAAACUUCACAAUAAAAGCAAAAAAAAGGUAUGUAUUCAUAUACAUAGUAAUAAAACAAACAAAAACAAAAUUGAAAGAAAUAGAUCUCAAAACAAACCUUCACAAAAAUGGACUGAGCUACUGCUGACCGGACCAACAAUCGAAAGCCUCGAACGGAACAUGACAACUUCGCCGAACCUCGCUUUCACUGUCGGGAUGCAGAUUAAUGGAGGUGAAAGAGUGACAUCGUUUUUUGGUCGUCAAUGGCACUGCUUCAGUCGACGUGGAGAGGACGACGCCAAGAGGGGUCGGGUUUUUGUGUAUUGCAGCGCUUUUAAUUCUCAUCAAGAACAGCGCUGCCAGCUUUUCCGUUCCUUUUAGGUCAACUUUUUUUUGGUCUUGAGAAUUUUGGCUGAUCUCUUUUCAAAUGAAAGAAAAUGGCCGAUUGAAGAAGCAGCUGCUGGAGAAUUCUCUUUGUCUCUUCUCAUAUGAAAAAAUAGCGGAUCCAAUCUUUUUGGGGUCUAGGGGUGUUUAGGGAUUAGGUACUAUUAUAUAGGGGUAGGGAUUAUGUUAGGGGUAUGAGCUUGGGAAUUAUGGGCUAGGUCCAAAAUUAAGCCUAAAAAUGGGUUGCUCAAGCAAAGUUUUAUUUUUU
RNAcentral lists this long non-coding RNA (17044 nucleotides) under Nicotiana tabacum (common tobacco). Its description in RNAcentral is "long non-coding RNA (NTAB_LNC007050)". The record is from RNAcentral. Lineage: Eukaryota; Viridiplantae; Streptophyta; Magnoliopsida; Solanales; Solanaceae.